Molecule: ribosomal RNA, 207 nt
Filed under: uncultured bacterium
Lineage: Bacteria
Description: partial 16S ribosomal RNA
Rfam family: Bacterial small subunit ribosomal RNA
Source: RNAcentral
CGCGUAGGCGGUUUGGCAAGUCAGUCGUGAAAUCCCUCGGCUCAACCGAGGAACUGCGAUUGAAACUGCCGGACUCGAGUCCCGGAGAGGGUAGUGGAAUUCCCAGUGUAGCGGUGAAAUGCGUAGAUAUUGGGAGGAACAUCGGUGGCGAAGGCGGCUACCUGGACGGGUACUGACGCUGAGGCGCGAAAGCGUGGGGAGCAAACA